RNAcentral lists this ribosomal RNA (418 nucleotides) under Plicaria endocarpoides. RNAcentral describes it as "SSU rRNA". It matches the Rfam family "Eukaryotic small subunit ribosomal RNA", at positions 467 to 888 of the family's 1831-position model. The record is from RNAcentral. Lineage: Eukaryota; Fungi; Ascomycota; Pezizomycetes; Pezizales; Pezizaceae.
GUGACAAUAAAUACUGAUACAGGUGGUUUUAUGCCUCUUGUAAUUGGAAUGAGUACAAUUUAAAUCUCUUAACGAGGAACAAUUGGAGGGCAAGUCUGGUGCCAGCAGCCGCGGUAAUUCCAGCUCCAAUAGCGUAUAUUAAAGUUGUUGCAGUUAAAAAGCUCGUAGUUGAACCUUGGACCUGGCCGACCGGUCUGCCUCACCGCAUGCACUGGUUUGGCCGGGUCUUUCCUUCUGGCAAGCCGCAUGCCCUUCACUGGGUGUGUUGGGGAACCAGGACUUUUACUUUGAAAAAAUUAGAGUGUUCAAAGCAGGCAUUUAGCUCGAAUACAUUAGCAUGGAAUAAUAGAAUAGGACGUGUGGUUCUAUUUUGUUGGUUUCUAGGACCACCGUAAUGAUUAAUAGGGAUAGUCGGGGC